Molecule: ribosomal RNA, 253 nt
Filed under: uncultured bacterium
Lineage: Bacteria
Description: partial 16S ribosomal RNA
Rfam family: Bacterial small subunit ribosomal RNA
Source: RNAcentral
GACGUAGGGCGCGAGCGUUGUCCGGAUUUAUUGGGCGUAAAGAGCUCGUAGGUGGUUUGUCGCGUUGUUCGUGAAAACUCACAGCUUAACUGUGGGCGUGCGGGCGAUACGGGCAGACUUGAGUACUGCAGGGGAGACUGGAAUUCCUGGUGUAGCGGUGGAAUGCGCAGAUAUCAGGAGGAACACCGGUGGCGAAGGCGGGUCUCUGGGCAGUAACUGACGCUGAGGAGCGAAAGCGUGGGGAGCGAACAGG